This 246-nucleotide long non-coding RNA is filed under the name Brassica rapa (field mustard). RNAcentral's name for it is "long non-coding RNA (BRAP_LNC003714)". Lineage: Eukaryota; Viridiplantae; Streptophyta; Magnoliopsida; Brassicales; Brassicaceae. The record is from RNAcentral.
AUCUUGAUCCAAACGAGAGUUUAGGUAUCAAGAUCGAUCAGCAUAGGGGGCAGUUCCACGACAGUGGGCUGUUCUACUUGAGUGAUCCGAGUUCUAGACUGGUCUUUAAUCGAACUUGAAUAAUUGUUUGGCUCACACUUGUUUAACACCCGAUCAAACCACCCUAGGCUAGCAUUUUAGUUAUCUGAAUACUUUAAUUAAUCUUGUUACUUGUUUCUCACGAAACCCUCAAAUCUUAAAACCCCC